This 794-nucleotide ribosomal RNA is filed under the name Micrococcus lylae. RNAcentral's name for it is "bacterial SSU rRNA". It matches the Rfam family "Bacterial small subunit ribosomal RNA", at positions 54 to 863 of the family's 1533-position model. Lineage: Bacteria; Bacillati; Actinomycetota; Actinomycetes; Micrococcales; Micrococcaceae. The record is from RNAcentral.
CAUGCAGUCGACGAUGCAGCUCCAGCUUGCUGGGGUGGAUUAGUGGCGAACGGGUGAGUAACACGUGAGUAACCUGCCCUUGACUCUGGGAUAAGCCUUGGAAACGGGGUCUAAUACCGGAUAGGAGCAUUCACCGCAUGGUGGGUGUUGGAAAGAAUUUCGGUCUUGGAUGGACUCGCGGCCCAUCAGCUUGUUGGUGAGGUAAUGGCUCACCAAGGCGACGACGGGUAGCCGGCCUGAGAGGGUGACCGGCCACACUGGGACUGAGACACGGCCCAGACUCCUACGGGAGGCAGCAGUGGGGAAUAUUGCACAAUGGGCGCAAGCCUGAUGCAGCGACGCCGCGUGAGGGAUGACGGCCUUCGGGUUGUAAACCUCUUUCAGUAGGGAAGAAGCGAAAGUGACGGUACCUGCAGAAGAAGCACCGGCUAACUACGUGCCAGCAGCCGCGGUAAUACGUAGGGUGCGAGCGUUAUCCGGAAUUAUUGGGCGUAAAGAGCUCGUAGGCGGUUUGUCGCGUCUGCCGUGAAAGUCCGGGGCUUAACUCCGGAUCUGCGGUGGGUACGGGCAGACUAGAGUGCAGUAGGGGAGACUGGAAUUCCUGGUGUAGCGGUGGAAUGCGCAGAUAUCAGGAGGAACACCGAUGGCGAAGGCAGGUCUCUGGGCUGUAACUGACGCUGAGGAGCGAAAGCAUGGGGAGCGAACAGGAUUAGAUACCCUGGUAGUCCAUGCCGUAAACGUUGGGCACUAGGUGUGGGGCCAUUCCACGGUUUCGCGCGCAGCUAACGCAUUAA